RNAcentral lists this ribosomal RNA (375 nucleotides) under uncultured bacterium. RNAcentral's name for it is "bacterial SSU rRNA". It matches the Rfam family "Bacterial small subunit ribosomal RNA", at positions 28 to 404 of the family's 1533-position model. The record is from RNAcentral.
GACGAACGCUGGCGGCGUGCUUAACACAUGCAAGUCGAGCGGUAAGGCCCUUUCGGGGGUACACGAGCGGCGAACGGGUGAGUAACACGUGGGUGACCUGCCCUCAGCUCUGGGAUAAGCCUGGGAAACCGGGUCUAAUACCGGAUAUGACUCCAUGACGCAUGUUGUGGGGUGGAAAGCCCUGUGCGGCUGAGGAUGGGCCCGCGGCCUAUCAGCUUGUUGGUGGGGUGAUGGCCUACCAAGGCGACGACGGGUAGCCGGCCUGAGAGGGCGACCGGCCACACUGGGACUGAGACACGGCCCAGACUCCUACGGGAGGCAGCAGUGGGGAAUCUUGCGCAAUGGGCGAAAGCCUGACGCAGCGACGCCGCGUGA